CAGUCGCCGCGGGAAAACGGAGGGUGCAAGCGCUGUCCGGAUUUAUUGGGUUUAAAGGGUGCGUAGGCGGCCUAAUAAGUCAGUGGUGAAAGCCUCCAGCUUAACUGGAGAACUGCCAUUGAUACUGUUAGGCUUGAGUAUACUUGAGGUAGGCGGAAUUGACAGUGUAGCGGUGAAAUGCAUAGAUAUUGUCAAGAACACCAAUUGCGAAGGCAGCCCCCUGGGCCAAUACUGACGCUCAUGCACGAAAGCGUGGGGAGCAAACAGGAUUAGAUACCCCCGUAGUCCCUGUCUCUUAUAC
Molecule: ribosomal RNA, 301 nt
Filed under: uncultured bacterium
Lineage: Bacteria
Description: partial 16S ribosomal RNA
Rfam family: Bacterial small subunit ribosomal RNA
Source: RNAcentral